CGCGGUGGAACAGAUGAGCCAUGGGGCCUGAGGGGAAAAGUUAAAUAGGUGAAUUGACAGGUGGGAAGUGUGUGUGGGAUAAAUUAAACAGGUAAAUUGACAGGUGGGAAGUGUGUGUGGGAUAAAUUAAACAGGUAAAUUGACAGGUGGAAAGUGUGUGUGGGAUAAAUUAAACAGGUAAAUUGACAGGUGGGAAGUGUGUGUGGGAUAAAUUAAACAGGUAAAUUGACAGGUGGAAAGUGUGUGUGGGAUAAAUUAAACAGGUAAAUUGACAGGUGGAAAGUGUGCGUGGGAUAAAUUAAACAGGUAAAUUGACAGGUGGAAAGUGUGUGUGGGAUAAAUUAAACAGGUAAAUUGACAGGUGGAAAGUGUGUGUGGGAUAAAUUAAACAGGUAAAUUGACAGGUGGAAAGUGUGUGUGGGAUAAAUUAAACAGGUAAAUUGACAGGUGGAAAGUGGUGACGGUGGUGACAGGUAUGUAGGGGUUUGACAGCAGGUACAUAUAUAGGUAAUGGUGUACUGAAGAGCUAUCUCAUAUACCACUAAGGAGAAUGGCUGGAUUAGACACCGUACUUACAAUACAGAGGAAGAUUAGACAAGCUUGAUUGGGAAUUUUUUAAAAGGGCAUAGACUGGGUGGUGAUCUUACUGAAGUGUCUGAAUGGGCUCAAGGAAUCAUUAAUAAAGGUGAUGUUGAUUAAGUACUUACACUGACAGAAAUAUGUUAGAAACCCCAGUAAAAGGUACAAGGUGGAUAAGUUUAGGUUCAGGGAGGAGAGGAAUAAGCUGAUCCAUAAACAGGGUAUUGAAUGAAUGAAACAAAUAAAGCAGAUGUGUAGCCUAGUUAAAACAUAUAUGGUUCAGUUUCAAAUGGAGGUUAGACAGGUGUAUGGAUGGGAAGGGUGGGAAGGAAAGAACCAUAUAUGUUUUAACUCAGGAGCUGUGUGUGUGCUGACUGGCCUCUUGUGUCUGUGCUCAUCCUUAUGUAUGAGGUGACAGCUGGUGAUGGUGAGAUGUGUCCAAGUGGGAAGAAUCUGGUAUUUUUUUUAGGAUCUAGGAAAAUGGACCAAUCUAAAAACAAAUAAAAUGGUUGAUAUAUACAGUACAAUUUUCUUACAUCUUUGUCUUGUGCUUCAGUCUGUGUGUCUGCAUAUCUGCCUGUCUGUCUGCCUAUCUGUCUGUCCUGA
Eriocheir sinensis (Chinese mitten crab) is the source of this 1185-nucleotide long non-coding RNA. RefSeq lists it as uncharacterized. NCBI's taxonomy places the organism in Eukaryota, Metazoa, Arthropoda, Malacostraca, Decapoda, Varunidae. The record is from RefSeq and is a predicted model, not a curated record. The transcript has 4 exons.